UACGAAGGGUGCAAGCGUUACUCGGAAUUACUGGGCGUAAAGCGUGCGUAGGUGGUUUGUUAAGUCUGAUGUGGAAGCCCUGGGCUCAACCUGGGAACGGCAUUGGAAACUGGCUUACUAGAGUGCGGUAGAGGGGUGUGGAAUUCCCGGUGUAGCAGUGAAAUGCGUAGAUAUCGGGAGGAACAUCUGUGGCGAAGGCGACACCCUGGACCAGCACUGACACUGAGGCACGAAAGCGUGGGGAGCAAACAGG
Molecule: ribosomal RNA, 253 nt
Filed under: uncultured bacterium
Lineage: Bacteria
Description: partial 16S ribosomal RNA
Rfam family: Bacterial small subunit ribosomal RNA
Source: RNAcentral